RNAcentral lists this ribosomal RNA (1242 nucleotides) under Komagataeibacter sp. Its description in RNAcentral is "bacterial SSU rRNA". It matches the Rfam family "Bacterial small subunit ribosomal RNA", at positions 26 to 1377 of the family's 1533-position model. Lineage: Bacteria; Pseudomonadati; Pseudomonadota; Alphaproteobacteria; Acetobacterales; Acetobacteraceae. The record is from RNAcentral.
CGGCAAGUGGCGGCAAGCUUACACAUGCAAGUCGCACGAACCUUUCGGGGUUAGUGGCGGACGGGUGAGUAACGCGUAGGGAUCUGUCCAUGGGUGGGGGAUAACCUUGGGAAACCGAGGCUAAUACCGCAUGACACCUGAGGGUCAAAGGCGCAAGUCGCCUGUGGAGGAACCUGCGUUCGAUUAGCUGGUUGGUGGGGUAAAGGCCUACCAAGGCGAUGAUCGAUAGCUGGUCUGAGAGGAUGAUCAGCCACACUGGGACUGAGACACGGCCCAGACUCCUACGGGAGGCAGCAGUGGGGAAUAUUGGACAAUGGGCGCAAGCCUGAUCCAGCAAUGCCGCGUGUGUGAAGAAGGUUUUCGGAUUGUAAAGCACUUUCAGCGGGGACGAUGAUGACGGUACCCGCAGAAGAAGCCCCGGCUAACUUCGUGCCAGCAGCCGCGGUAAUACGAAGGGGGCAAGCGUUGCUCGGAAUGACUGGGCGUAAAGGGCGCGUAGGCGGUUGUUACAGUCAGAUGUGAAAUUCCCGGGCUUAACCUGGGGGCUGCAUUUGAUACGUGACGACUAGAGUGUGAGAGAGGGUUGUGGAAUUCCCAGUGUAGAGGUGAAAUUCGUAGAUAUUGGGAAGAACACCGGUGGCGAAGGCGGCAACCUGGCUCAUGACUGACGCUGAGGCGCGAAAGCGUGGGGAGCAAACAGGAUUAGAUACCCUGGUAGUCCACGCUGUAAACGAUGUGUGCUGGAUGUUGGGUGGCUUGGCCAUUCAGUGUCGUAGUUAACGCGAUAAGCACACCGCCUGGGGAGUACGGCCGCAAGGUUGAACUCAAGGAAUUGACGGGGCCCGCACAGCGGUGGAGCAUGUGGUUUAUUCGAAGCACGCGCAGAUCUUACCAGGGCUUGACAUGCGGAGGCCGUGUUCAGAGAUGGGCAUUUUCUCCGCAGGAGACCUCCAGCACAGGUGCUGCAUGGCUGUCGUCAGCUCGUGGUCGUGAGAUUGUUGGGUUAGUUCCCGCACGAGCGCACCUCGCUUUAGUUGCAGCACGUCUGGUGGGCACUCUAGACUGCGUGACAGCGAGAGGUGGGAUGACGUCAGUCUCAUGCUAUGUCCUGCUACACUGCUACAUGCGUUACUGGAACAGGCACGAUGCCACGAUCUCGAGCGUUCAUCGAUGCACUGCACUUAAGUGCUGAGUAUCCUGAUCGAUACAUGCCGUAUCGUGUCAGCCUGUACACGUGCCCGG